CCCAAUCCACUCCCAGUUCACUCCCAGUCCCUCCCAGUCCCUCCCAGUUCAUUCCCAGUGCUCCCAGUCCCUCCCAGUGCUCCCAGUUCAUCCCAGUUCACUCCCAGUUCAUUCCCAGUUCAUUCCCAGUCCCUCCCAGUUCGCUCCCCGUCCCUCCCAAUUCAUUCCCAGUCCCUCCCAGUGCUCCCAGUUCAUUCCCAGUUCAUUCCCAGUUCAUUCCCAGUUCACUCCCAGUCCCUCCCAGUUCAUUCCCAGUCCCAGUUCAUUCCCAGUCCCUCCCAGUGCUCCCAGUUCACUCCCAAUCCAUUCCCAGUUUGCUCCCAGUCCCUCCCAGCGCUCCCAGUGUCCCCAGACUGGGGGGCGUGGCCAUGGCAGCGCUGCCUCUGCCCCUCCCCCUCCUGCUGCUGGCCGGGGUGGCCGAGGGGACCCCGCGGGGGACAGAGGGGAGAGCGGGGACCCUGCUGGACCUGGGCCGCUGUCGCUUCGCGCUGGGAAUGGAGGACGGGACCAUCCCCGACUUUCGCCUCUCGGCCUCCAGCGCUUGGUCCGACUCCACCGCCGCCCGCCACGGCCGGUACGGACCAGUGUCCACCAGUAAAAACCAGUUUGGAAUGGUUCGGACCAGUACAAACCAGUACGAACCGGUUUGGACCAGUAUAGAGCAGCAUAGAUUGGUAUAAACCAGUAUAAACCAGUAUAAAUCAGUAUGAACCAGUAUGAACCAGUAUGAACUGGUUUGGACCGGUAUGAACCAGUUUGGACCAGUAUGAACCGGUUUGGACUGGUAUGAACCGGUUCGGACCAGUAUAGAACAGUAUAGACUGGUAUAAACCAGUAUAAACCAGUAUGAACCGGUUUGGACCAGUAUGAACCGGUUUGGACUGGUAUGAACUGGUUUGGACCGGUAUGAACCAGUUCGGACCAGUAUAGAACAGUAUAGACUGGUAUAAACCAGUAUGAACCAGUAUGAACUGGUUUGGACCAGUAUGAACCGGUUUGGACCAGUAUGGACCAGUAUGAACCGGUUCGGACCAGUAUGAACCGGUUCAGACCAGUAUAGAACAGUAUAGACUGGUAUAAACCAGUAUAAACCAGUAUGAACCGGU
Molecule: long non-coding RNA, 1106 nt
Filed under: Cyanistes caeruleus (blue tit)
Lineage: Eukaryota; Metazoa; Chordata; Aves; Passeriformes; Paridae
Description: lncRNA (ENSCCEG00000014403.1)
Source: RNAcentral